This 4599-nucleotide long non-coding RNA is filed under the name Canis lupus familiaris (dog). RNAcentral describes it as "lncRNA (ENSCAFG00030009185.1)". The record is from RNAcentral. Lineage: Eukaryota; Metazoa; Chordata; Mammalia; Carnivora; Canidae.
UGGGAAACUUACCCUUAAUCCACUCACCAAGAUGAGGGUAGACUCUGCUCUCUCCUCCAGAACACAGAGCCUGUGGUUCUGAUGUCAUGGGGGCACUUAGCAAUCUGUAUUGCCAUAGCUUUCCUCCCGAGGAGAUGCUAUAGGCAUAUUGUGCGUUGGGACUAUGUUUUAUUCAUUGAUAGAUUCCCAGCACCUAGGAUAGUAUUUGGCAAAUAAUCAACACUUAAUAAAUAUUUGUUGAAUGAGUGUUAUGUAGACACAGUGCAAAGUAGCCUUUGGCCAGAGCAAUGAUUACAGUAUUAGCAAAUCUGUGCUAUUUUUCUUUCUUCAGAACAGUUCACUUUGAUUUAUCUCGAACUGUUAUGCAAGCUGUAACUAAAAACGACUGUGCUUGACACUGACUAUAAAAAUACCACUGUGCAGACUGUGUUUUUAAAAACCAAUAUUGAAGCUCAAAUCAUUUAUAGUGAUGUCCAUAUUAAAUGCUCUCUACCUACGUUCGCUAAGUGUUGAAAGAUUUUUUUUUUUUUUUUUUUUUGCAUCUUUUCUACAGAUUUCUUCUCCAGCUGCUACCAUAAUAGCUUCCUUUCCUUGGUUCACACUGUUGCUAAAUGCAAACAAAUCAGACUGUCACAGAAUCCACCUGAUACCCGGAGUAAGCUGUAGUCCAGUGAAUCAUCCAUUGACUCAUUCAGCGCACUUAGCACUUGCUAGAGGCAAGCCUGAAUAAGUCCCUAUCCUCAAUGUACUGACAGGUAAGAGAUCGUCUCACCAAUAACAGCCCUGUAGGUAUAAGAAAUGUACACAUGUUCAUAGUGAUUUCUGAAUAAAUUCAAAAUGACAGUAAAUAUUUCAGAGUAGAUUUUUAUGCCCACUGGUAUACGUAGAUGAAAUUCAUUAAAAGUUUAGCAUUUAAAAAUGGUAACAGCCUAGAAGCAUUUUUUUCAAAAAAACAAAAAAACCAAAGUUUCGGGUUACUAUAAAGUUUUUGUUGUCAAGUUCAGAAGUAUACACACUGGGCAGAGCAAGAGGUUUUACUAGUUGUCGAUAUGUAAAUAAUUAGCAGUUCUUAUAUUCCACAAAAUGAGAAGAAUCACCAAGUCCACCUGUAUCUCAAAACCUUCUUUCUACACUUGCCUUUGCUUGUGAAAUCAGCUGGAGCAUGCUAAGCAAUGCUUAACUCAGUUGAUUAAUUUUUAUUUGAUAUUAACCAAGAUUUUCCCAUAAAAUAAGUUAUGACAUGAAAUUUAAUAUAUCAUGAAAUUUAACCAUCCUCAAACAAAAAAUAAUAAUAAAAAGCCAAGUGAAAUGAAAGAUCUGAAUGAUACUCUGAAACAAAGUUGGGUCCUCCACCCAUGUAUGUACCUCAGACAGGUUGAGACUGUUUUACUCUUGCUCACUAAUCUAGUCCCUGUGUGCCUGGCACAUAGUGGGUUUUCUUUCAGAAAGUAAUAACAGAGAAUGAGACGAUGGGAUUAUAACGAGGCCCUAAUAUAUAAAUGAGUAAUAUUAGUCACAUUAAUUUCCCAAUUAAAACAUUAAUGACUGUGAAAGUAUAUAGAAGCAUAAGUGACCUGACUUCCCCUGACACAUUCAGAAUUUGAUAAUGAUGAUUCUGUAGCCUUCAUUUAGUCCUAAUCACUGUGUGUGUAGGACACAGGGAGCCCUACAAUCAUAUGGUGAAAAAAAUUAGUUUAUCUUUGAAAGUAAGGGGAUAGGACAUAGUCAAGUAUUUAUGAAAAUAGAAUUUUAUCAUUUAAAAUUCCUUCAUAUUAGUAUUUCAAAUAUAUAAGUAAGACAUACUCAUUAUAGAAAACUGGAAAGUAUGGAAAUUAGAAAAUAUCAUAUUUUCCAGCACACAUGGACAGACAUUACACAACUUAGUAAGUUUUCUCUCCACUUCUCAGCAACCUCCCCUCCGACACACUCUCCCAAACAUGCACAACUGUAGCUUUUCUUCAUAUUAAAUAGGUCUAAGAAAACCCCACUAGUCUCUCCAUUUUUCUCUUGGUUUCUGAAUUCCUUACUACAUCGUAUUCAGAAGAGUUUGAUACCCUUACAUUAACACUCUGGUUCUUUCCCACUGCUGCUAGUGAACUCACCGACUAUGCAUCCCAUCUGAUUAGCAAGUAAAGAUCAUAUUUAACUCCCAAAGUGAAAGUGAUCAUAAUGUACAAAUAUUCUUUCAGUGGUUUUGUCCCAUUUGAGGUAAGAGUUAUCUGUUCUUUUUAAAGUAAGGAAAAUGAUAGCACCUACCUAUAAAGUUUUGUUAUGAGAACUAAAUGAAUUGAAAUAUGUAGAGGAAUUAGAACAAUGGCAAGCAUAUAGUGUAAGUUCAACAAAUACUAGCUAUCAUAUUGGUGUUGUUGUUAUUGUUAUCUUUCAUAUGGUCCUGUGGUUUUAUAGAAAGGAGCAGGGUAAAGAAAGGAAAAAUGAGAGCCACAUCAAUGUCAGCUGAAGCAAAGCUAGCAAAGCUAAUGAACUGUGUUUUUUACACUAUAUUUUUACCACAGUGUAUGAGUAGAAUCAUUACAUAUAUGCAUCAAGAAACAAACCCUGUUUGUGACUAUGCAUGGCAAGAUUGGGCUCUAAGACUACAAAAUAUUUAAAAAUAUUAUGUAAAUGCAAUAUAACAAAUUAUCAUAAUAAUAUUGUGAAACCCCUCAAGAUAAUUAUUUCUCAUGAUCAUUGUGUAACCAAAGCUAAUAUUUGCUAUUCAACAGAAGAGUAAAAUAAAUAACUUCAUGGAAUUUGUAGUAUCUUAAUUAAUCUAAUUUCAUCUAUAAAAUAUGAGUCAACUUGGCGAGGAUCAAAUGCAUUUUUAUUUAUCAGUUUAAAAUUUAAAAAUCCAGUUGACUAUUUUUAAAUUUGUAUAAAAGUAAAAAGAAACAAAAAAGGAAUUAUUGCUUUCAAAGGCAUCCUUUCUGCUUUUCCUACUCAAAAAUGGCUCUGAUUAAAAUUUUUAGCUUUGGCAAGCAGUUAUCCAAAAAUAUGAUCAAAUGAUAAAUGGAUGAGAGAUUCAUGAGUAAAACCCAGCUUUAUGCUGUGCUUUCUAAGUAAUAUUUUUCAACCAAAUUUGAGUAAUUAUUUUUACAACGCAGACUGAUGUGACUAAUAUUUGAGCAGUCUGUUAAAAACAUAAAGUGAGGGAAAUGCUCAUAUUAUAGGGAUCAAAUGGACAAAGAUAAAUUCAUAAUUCUUUAAAAUGCUUUCUGCUUAUCAUACUGUUACAGGUUGAGUUUUUCAGAAAAUGGAUUCUGAAACACAGGUGCAGGAUGUUUAUUAAGAAGGGUCCUUAGGAUCAAUAUCUGUGAAAGAAAAAGAAAGGGAGCAGAGGGAAAACUUCAGCUGUGUCACAGGCACCACGUCAACGUUGGUUGACUCCACGGGGAGCUCUGGAGCUAAAUUGGCCUUUCAUUGUUGCCCUAUCUUGACUCCAAAAUGGCUGUCUUUAUACCCAAACAUCAUGGGAUGUUGGCCUCCCAGACAGGUGUAGCCUUGGAUGAGGCUGCUUUGUCCAGAUGAGGCAAUUUCUUGAAGAGCCUCAUAGCAGAAGUUUAUCUUCCAAUAGCAUACCCAGUAUUUGGGCAUAAGCUCCUCCUCCUAGAAUGACUUGGGCAAAACAUCCACAUACUUUCUCAUGUUUAUUUGUACAAGUAGUGUAAAUUCAGAAUAAAGAUUCAAGGAAAAUUUGGUUAAUUUUUUUUCCUCCCACUCCUCUCUCCAAUUUAAUUUCAUCAAGUCAAUUCAUAAUUACCCUUGAGACAAAAUUUCUGCCUCACCUUCUUUAGGGGUCCUUCACCACCCAAACACACAUGUGCAUAUUACUACCUCCAGAUUUUCUUUCAGAAUUGUCUUUUAAUGGAUCAGUUUCCCUUAGGGAAGGAGAGUUCCUCUAAGACAGGGAUUGUGUCUUAAUCAUCUUUAUAUCUUAACUGUCUACCACAGAAUCUACAUUACAGUGGUCGCUCAGUUGAAUAUUUGUUGAAUGAAUGAAUGGAUGAAUGAAUUUUCCUAUGUCCAUUGGCUCCAUCAUUUUAAUCUCUCCUAAUAUUUCUUAUAUAGCGAAAUUAGCACAAGAUGUUCUCCUUACACAUUGUAAGAUUCGUUGUUGUUGUUGUUUCUUAAGGAAGACUCCAUCUUUAUCAUCAGUGUAGUACUGGGGACUGGCUUAAAAGCCCGUAAGUCAUUGAGUGGGUGAAUGUUGAUUUAAUAGCUCUGGAGGUGAUAAUAAUGUAGUCCCUAUACAAGGAACCACAUGUUCUGGAGAUUCAUUUUACUUAGUGUUGGAGGCCUCCGUAAAUGUCAGAAAAAAAUUAACAACAAAAUUUUAAUAUUAUUAAAUAAAAAAUAAAGCUUUUAUUACCUUAGAACAUUUGUCACACAUUGUACCAUCUGAUACUUUUGUUGAUAUUAAUUUAGAAAUGUCUGGGUUCCUAUUUCUAUAGUCACAGACAGUGAACAAUGCCUACACCCAUAGAGACAACAAACAGUUUUUGAUAUCCUGAAAGUUGUUUGGUUUCAUUGUAAUAUAUCACUUAAUCCUAGUAAUUGUGUAAAGCAUAUAUUGUUUUCAUAAUUUUCAUAUUAUUUUCAUUU